ACUGUGCAUAAGGAGACUGUCACUGUUGCCAGUUCCAUGUUUUUAUGACAAAUCUUGUGAUAUCUUGUUUUCUUAAAAAAAAAAACAGGUCUUGUAUUUCAUCAGAAUCUCUGUUUUCAUUAUAAAAAUAAUAAUUAAAAAAAAAGUUUCCAGCUUGACAUUGGCAUCAAAUUAGAGGAAAAAAAAGAAAAUGUUCGCAGCUUCACCAUGAUGGCAGAAAAAACAAAUGCAUACAAGAACACUCAAAUACAGUAUUUUGCUUUAAAAGCAACAAAAAAAAAUCCCAAACCACCAAGCAAAUGAAAGACCUGUGGUUUUGAAGGACAGACUCUUAAUGUCUGUGUUGUGGUCUUUUACUGUAACUGUAAAAGAGACUUUUGUAAUACUUUUAUAAAGUCUCCCCAUCUAUUUCCAGUGCAGAUAAGCUUCUUGCAAAAUCCUUAUUUGAAAAGAAAAGAUGUUGAAUCCUUUGGAAACAUUGGUCACUUUAUAAAACAAAGAGCUGCUAAUAGUUCCUGAACAGAUGCCUUUUUCUCUAGAUUUAAUUCUUGAUCUGAGUCUGGAUGAUCCAAAGCAGAAGGACUGGAGGCUGGCAGUAAAUCUGCUACAAUCUUGAGCUCCUGUGGGAGAAAUAUUAGUCGUGAUUCUUCCCUCCUGCUGGAUGUAUGCUGGAGUUAUUCCUGCUUUGUAUCAGGGGCAGGAUGGUUCCUCAGUGGACCACGUUCCCGAGAUUGACUGACAGGACUGCAUCAUUCACCUUCACCCACACAGACAAUCCGCAAGAUCGCUUGCGCAUCUGACAGCGUUCUGUGUACAGUCACUUUCGCUGUUUCUCCUGCAUAUUCAGACAGCUUCCUGUUUGGCUUAUAUGGCUUUUCACAUGCAACAGGAAGAGAAAACUAUUCCUAAGAAGAUAUGAUUGCAAGGUACCCAUGCUGGGCAGUUUGGGAGCAGGUGGAAGACCACAGAAAUUAUUUUGGACCUUUUUUAAUUGACUUCAUUUCAGGCUGACGCAUGUCGUUUUUGGCUUAUUAACACAAUUUACAUCCUGCCCUAAACUAAAGGGAAAGUGGACAAAAUGGAGUGGUUUGUGGCGUGGACAGCAGUGAAAUCCAACUGCAAAUAAGAUCAGCUUUUUGUCCUCCUAUAUUCCCUGUUUUCAGUUUGUCUUUUUGCCCAUUUUCCUUUAUUCCUUUGUUUUCUAGGGAAGCUCCAGAACUGUAGAGCAUAAGUCAAAGAGUAGCAAGAUUGCAUGUUCUUUGCAACCAGCCAGUGUGCACUGUAUUGAUCAACAUACUGGUUUAUUUUGCAGCACUCUCCGCAAGCUAAAACUAAACCUGAAGUCAUCGUUCUACCCUUUUCAUUUUAGUGUCAUUCUUUCUGUUUCUUGUUUAAAGUGUUGUUUUCUACUUAAAACAGUCCAUGGGAGGUAUUUGCCGUUUUAAGCUUUCUUUUUUAAGCUUUUAAAGAGAUGUCUAUAAUAGCCCAUCUUUUCCCAAAAAGAUUGUAAAGAAAAACCAAGUGAGAUUUUCCUCGUAAGUCCAGACAUUUCCAUUCAGAAUUACAUUUUUUUCCCAUAGAUAUGUUUAAGUGAUCUGUGCAGUUUGUGUUUGUUUUAUUUGUGUGCAGAAUUAAGUGCUGUGUGCAGUGACUUCUGGGCUUUUUAGAACUCCCAAACAGGAGGCAAAUGGGAGAGGAAUAUUUUGGAAAAAGAACCAAAUUGUCGUCUGUGUUCAGCUCUUUGUGUUUUCCAGCUGGUUUUACUUCUAACCUUUAGCAUUCCUCAUGGGGUACUGAUGC
This is a long non-coding RNA of Apteryx rowi (Okarito brown kiwi), 1800 nucleotides long. Lineage: Eukaryota; Metazoa; Chordata; Aves; Apterygiformes; Apterygidae. The record is from Ensembl.